This 496-nucleotide ribosomal RNA is filed under the name uncultured bacterium. Its description in RNAcentral is "partial 16S ribosomal RNA". It matches the Rfam family "Bacterial small subunit ribosomal RNA", at positions 29 to 507 of the family's 1533-position model. The record is from RNAcentral.
AUGAACGCUGGCGGCGUGCCUAAUCCCUGCCAGUCGAGCGAACGGACGAGAAGCUUGCUUCUCUGAUGUUAGCGGCGGACGGGUGAGUAACACGUGGAUAACCUACCUAUAAGACUGGGAUAACUUCGGGAAACCGUAGCUAAUACCGGAUAAUAUUUUUAACCGCAUGGUUCAAAAGUGAAAGACGGUCUUGCUGUCACUUAUAGAUGGAUCCGCGCUGCAUUAGCUAGUUGGUAAGGUAACGGCUUACCAAGGCAACGAUGCAUAGCCGACCUGAGAGGGUGAUCGGCCACACUGGAACUGAGACACGGUCCAGACUCCUACGGGAGGCAGCAGUAGGGAAUCUUCCGCAAUGGGCGAAAGCCUGACGGAGCAACGCCGCGUGAGUGAUGAAGGUCUUCGGAUCGUAAAACUCUGUUAUUAGGGAAGAACAUAUGUGUAAGUAACUGUGCACAUCUUGACGGUACCUAAUCAGAAAGCCACGGCUAACUACGUG